Molecule: long non-coding RNA, 891 nt
Filed under: Elaeis guineensis (African oil palm)
Lineage: Eukaryota; Viridiplantae; Streptophyta; Magnoliopsida; Arecales; Arecaceae
Description: long non-coding RNA (EGUI_LNC002881)
Source: RNAcentral
UCUCUAUUUAUAUCUUUAAGAGCCACAACCCGUUCCCCCACCGUCCCCCUCUCUCUUGCCGAUCUCCCACUAGUCCAUUCCUCGUUCUCAUCACCCAAUUUACAAUCUCUCAAGGCUUUCCUCUGAGGAAGACCUAGCUAGGCAGCAAAAUCAAAGACGCGAAGAAGGAAAACCUGCCGCCACCGAUGGUUUCAUCAGCUUCAUCUUCCAAGAUGAUGGCCUUCCCCCUUCUUCUCCCCCUCUCCCUCUCCCUCUCCCUCCUCCUCCCCUCUGCCUUCGGUAUGUAUAUAUGCUUUCCAACUCCACCUUCCUUUUGAUGGCAAAUCAAUAUAUACUAAUCGAUAUGUUGUUGACGGUGGAUGAUGUCACAUGCAGCGCGGGUGAUCUGCGAGGAUCUACCGCAAGACCUGGAGGCCUUUUCUUAAAUAAUACAAAAAAAAAAUUAUUUAUCUAAAUAAUAUAUAUUUUAAUUUAUUUAUAAAAGUAAUGCAAAAGGGAUAAAACAUCAUUUUCAAUGAUAUUUUCACCCUGCCACGUUACCCAUAUUUUUCAUGUAGACGUCGUCCAAAAAAAAAAAAAUAGAAAACAUCAUUUUGAAUGACGUUUUUUAAAAACGCCAUUCCAAAUGGCGUUUCUUAUUUUUUUUUCAAAAAAAAAGAAAAAAAAUCGAAAAAAAAUAGAAAAAAAUAAAUUUCAAAAUUUUAAAUUUAUAAAUAAAUAAAAAUUUCAAUUUUGAAUGAAAUAUAAAAUAUAAAAAUUUAAAUUUUUAAUUCAAAUAAAAAAGAUGAUUUUAGAUGAUUUUUUUCUUUUCAAAUUAAUUUUUUUUAAAAAAAUAUCUAAAUAAAAAUCUUAAAAAUUUAAAAAAAUAAAAAUAUCAUAGAAAAAGAAAAA